AGAUUGAACGCUGGCGGCAUGCCUUACACAUGCAAGUCGAACGGCAGCACGGGAGCAAUCCUGGUGGCGAGUGGCGAACGGGUGAGUAAUACAUCGGAACGUGCCCAAUCGUGGGGGAUAACGCAGCGAAAGCUGUGCUAAUACCGCAUAAGAUCUACGGAUGAAAG
RNAcentral lists this ribosomal RNA (167 nucleotides) under uncultured soil bacterium. Its description in RNAcentral is "partial 16S ribosomal RNA". It matches the Rfam family "Bacterial small subunit ribosomal RNA", at positions 26 to 206 of the family's 1533-position model. The record is from RNAcentral.